CUACGGGGUGCUGCAGUGGGGAAUCUUAGACAAUGGGCGCAAGCCUGAUCUAGCCAUGCCGCGUGAGUGAUGAAGGCCUUAGGGUCGUAAAGCUCUUUCGCUGGGGAAGAUAAUGACGGUACCCAGUAAAGAAACCCCGGCUAACUCCGUGCCAGCAGCCGCGGUAAUACGGAGGGGGUUAGCGUUGUUCGGAAUUACUGGGCGUAAAGCGCGCGUAGGCGGACUGUUAAGUCGGGGGUGAAAUCCCGGGGCUCAACCCCGGAACGGCCUUCGAUACUGGCAGUCUGGAGUUCGAGAGAGGUGAGUGGAAUUCCGAGUGUAGAGGUGAUAUUCGUAGAUAUUCGGAGGAACACCGGUGGCGAAGGCGGCUCACUGGCUCGAUACUGACGCUGAGGUGCGAAAGUGUGGGGAGCAAACAGGAUUAGAUACCCCUGUAGUC
This 439-nucleotide ribosomal RNA is filed under the name uncultured bacterium. Its description in RNAcentral is "partial 16S ribosomal RNA". It matches the Rfam family "Bacterial small subunit ribosomal RNA", at positions 339 to 795 of the family's 1533-position model. The record is from RNAcentral.